Molecule: ribosomal RNA, 300 nt
Filed under: uncultured Rickettsiaceae bacterium
Lineage: Bacteria; Pseudomonadati; Pseudomonadota; Alphaproteobacteria; Rickettsiales; Rickettsiaceae
Description: bacterial SSU rRNA
Rfam family: Bacterial small subunit ribosomal RNA
Source: RNAcentral
CGCGUGGGAAUUUACCUAAUAGUAUGGAAUAACAUUCAGAAAUGAAUGCUAAUACCGUAUAAGCCCUGAGGGGAAGAUUUAUCGCUAUUAGAUAAGCCCGCGUUGGAUUAGCUUGUUGGUAAGGUAAUGGCUUACCAAGGCUACGAUCCAUAGCUGGUCUGAGAGGAUGAUCAGCCACACUGGGACUGACACACGGCCCAGACUCCUACGGGAGGCAGCAGUGGGGAAUAUUGGACAAUGGGCGAAAGCCUGAUCCAGCAAUGCCACGUGAGUGAUGAAGGCCUUCGGUUGUAAAGCUCU